AGUGGAUGGGGAGCAACCUAGUUGUGCGUGUGUAAAGGUAGUGCCAAGAAAAGCGGUGAUCAUGAUGAAAAUCAAUUCCCGGUACCCGAAACCGACACAGGUGGGCAAGUAGAGAAUACUAAGGGGCGCGAGGUAACUCUCUCCAAGGAACUCGGCAAAAUGACCCCGUAACUUAGGGAGAAGGGGUGCCACCGAGAGGUGGUCGCAGUGAAGAGGCCCAGGCGACUGUUUAGCAAAAACAUAGGUCUCUGCAAACUCGAAAGAGGAGGUAUAGGGGCUGACGCCUGCCCAGUGCCGGAAGGUUAAAGAAGUUGGUCAGUCUUAGGAUAAAGCUAGCGACUGAAGCCCCGGUGAACGGCGGCCGUAACUAUAACGGUCCUAAGGUAGCGAAAUUCCUUGUCGGGUAAGUUCCGACCCGCACGAAAGGCGUAACGAUCUGGGCGCUGUCUCGGAGAGAGGCUCGGCGAAAUAGGAUUGUCUCUGAAGAUACGGACUACCUGCAUUUGGACAGAAAGACCCUAUGAAGCUUUACUAUAGCUUGGAAUUGUGUUCGGGCUUCCUGUGCGCAGGAUAGGUGGGAGGCGAAGAAGGUAUUCUUGUGGGGAUACUGGAGCCAACGGUGAGAUACCACUCUCAGGAGGCUAGAAUUCUAACUUAAUUAAGGACAGUUUCAGGUGGGUAGUUUGACUGGGGCGGUCGCCUCCAAAAAGGUAACGGAGGCGUACAAAGGUUCCCUCAGACUGGUUGGAAAUCAGUCGCAGAGUGCAAAGGCAGAAGGGAGCUUGACUGCGAGAAGUACAGUUCGAGCAGGGUGGAAACACGGUCUUAGUGAUCCGACGGUGCUGUGUGGAAGGGCCGUCGCUCAACGGAUAAAAGUUACUCUAGGAUAACAGGCUGAUCUCCCCCAAGAGUUCACAUCGACGGGGAGGUUUGGCACCUCGAUGUCGGCUCAUCGCAACCUGGGGCGGAAGUACGUCCCAAGGGUUGGGCUGUUCGCCCAUUAAAGCGGUACGUGAGCUGGGUUCAGAACGUCGUGAGACAGUUCGGUCCAUAUCCGAUGUAGGCGUGAGAAUAUUGAGAGGAGCCUUCCUUAGUACGAGAGGACCGGGAAGGACGCACCGCUGGUGUACCUGUUAUGAUGCCAAUUGUAAACGCAGGGUAGCCAAGUGCGGAGAGGAUAACCGCUGAAAGCAUCUAAGUGGGAAGCCCACCUCAAGAUGAGUAUUCUGGUGUAAGGUCACGGGAAGACGACCCGUAAAUAGGCACGAGGUGGAAGUGCAGAGAUGUAUGAAGCCGAAGUGUACUAAUAGACCGUCGGCUUGAC
RNAcentral lists this ribosomal RNA (1324 nucleotides) under metagenome. RNAcentral describes it as "bacterial LSU rRNA". It matches the Rfam family "Bacterial large subunit ribosomal RNA", at positions 1561 to 2925 of the family's 2925-position model. The record is from RNAcentral.